GGCUCAAGCCGUUCCCCUUGCAAUUGAUCCAGAAAUUAGGCUCCUUUGUAUGACAUCUGGGCCACGAGCGAUUAACUUGGACAAACCGGUUGAAAGAUCGGUAUGGUCGACUAGAGGGGGGUGAAUAGGAGACUAACAAAUUUUAGCUUUUUUUUUUCUUUUCUUGAAAGAUACAAACACUUAAUCCUAGGGCUUUCUAGAUUCUUUAAAGUGAAUGCAACCCUAGAAUGAAAUGCAAUAGCCCAAGCAAUAGCCAAAGCAACAAUAGAUAUCACACGUGGAGACAAAGAUUUCACUGGAGUUCCA
This 306-nucleotide long non-coding RNA is filed under the name Brachypodium distachyon (stiff brome). RNAcentral describes it as "long non-coding RNA (BDIS_LNC000569)". The record is from RNAcentral. Lineage: Eukaryota; Viridiplantae; Streptophyta; Magnoliopsida; Poales; Poaceae.